Molecule: unclassified non-coding RNA, 372 nt
Filed under: Artemisia indica
Lineage: Eukaryota; Viridiplantae; Streptophyta; Magnoliopsida; Asterales; Asteraceae
Description: partial external transcribed spacer
Source: RNAcentral
GUGUGGUUGGCUGCGGCGUUUGCAACAACUUCCAUGCUUUCAGACCUCUUCAGUUGUGCGGCAAGGCUUGUAUCGCCUUGNUGUAUUGNGGGUUUUCUGUGUUGAAUACCUAAUCAAUGGUAUCGGUUGGAUUGAUCAAUGUUUCAUUUCGUCUGUCGUCGCAUUCGCGGCGUGAGACGAACCUCGAUGCGGUCUCUUUGGCCCACCUCGUCGAAGCACAUGCUUUGACGUUGUGGCACAUUGAGCAUUGCUUGGUCUCUUGUAUACGGAACAUAUAGUGGGCAUGGAUCUAACGAUUCUUGUUUGCCCUCAUGUUAGCGUAACGCUUCUCUUACACGACUUGCUCCACGUUUUAGCUCGUACGGACGUGGU